Molecule: transfer RNA, 82 nt
Filed under: Candidatus Karelsulcia muelleri
Lineage: Bacteria; Pseudomonadati; Bacteroidota; Flavobacteriia; Flavobacteriales
Description: tRNA-Tyr
Rfam family: tRNA
About the family: Transfer RNA (tRNA) molecules are approximately 80 nucleotides in length. Their secondary structure includes four short double-helical elements and three loops (D, anti-codon, and T loops). Further hydrogen bonds mediate the characteristic L-shaped molecular structure. tRNAs have two regions of fundamental functional importance: the anti-codon, which is responsible for specific mRNA codon recognition, and the 3' end, to which the tRNAs corresponding amino acid is attached (by aminoacyl-tRNA synthetases). tRNAs cope with the degeneracy of the genetic code in two manners: having more than one tRNA (with a specific anti-codon) for a particular amino acid; and 'wobble' base-pairing, i.e. permitting non-standard base-pairing at the 3rd anti-codon position.
Source: RNAcentral
GGGGUGAUACUCAAGUGGUCAACGAGAACAGACUGUAAAUCUGCUGGUUUAACCUUCGUAGGUUCGAAUCCUACUCUCCCCA